This 393-nucleotide ribosomal RNA is filed under the name uncultured bacterium. Its description in RNAcentral is "bacterial SSU rRNA". It matches the Rfam family "Bacterial small subunit ribosomal RNA", at positions 30 to 425 of the family's 1533-position model. The record is from RNAcentral.
AUUGAACGCUGGCGGCAUGCCUUACACAUACAAGUCGCGCGAGAAAGUCCUUCGGGACGAGUACAGCGGCGCACGGUGAGUAAUGCAUAGGAACGUACCUAUAGGUGGGGAACAACCAAGCGAAAGCUUGGCUAAUACCGCAUAAUCUCGCAAGAGUAAAGAUGGCCUCUACUUGUAAGCUAUCGCCAAUAGAGCGGCCUAUGCCCCAUUAGCUAGUUGGUAAGGUAAUGGCUUACCAAGGCAACGAUGGGUAGCUGGUCUGAGAGGACGGACAGCCACACUGGAACUGAGACACGGUCCAGACUCCUACGGGAGGCAGCAGUGGGGAAUCUUGCACAAUGGGGGCAACCCUGAUCCAGCCAUGCCGCGUGAGUGAUGAAGGCCUUCGGGUUC